This 397-nucleotide ribosomal RNA is filed under the name uncultured bacterium. RNAcentral describes it as "partial 16S ribosomal RNA". It matches the Rfam family "Bacterial small subunit ribosomal RNA", at positions 523 to 918 of the family's 1533-position model. The record is from RNAcentral.
AUACGUAGGGGGCGAGCGUUGUCCGGAAUGAUUGGGCGUAAAGGGCGCGUAGGCGGCCCGGUAAGUCUGGAGUGAAAGUCCUGUUUUUAAGAUGGGAAUUGCUUUGGAUACUGUCGGGCUUGAGUGCAGGAGAGGUAAGUGGAAUUCCCAGUGUAGCGGUGAAAUGCGUAGAGAUUGGGAGGAACACCAGUGGCGAAGGCGACUUACUGGACUGUAACUGACGCUGAGGCGCGAAAGUGUGGGGAGCAAACAGGAUUAGAUACCCGGGUAGUCCACACUGUAAACGAUGAAUGCUAGGUGUAGGGGGUAUCGACCCCUUCUGUGCCGCAGUCAACACAAUAAGCAUUCCGCCUGGGGAGUACGGCCGCAAGGUUGAAACUCAAAGGAAUUGGCGGGG